Molecule: ribosomal RNA, 460 nt
Filed under: uncultured bacterium
Lineage: Bacteria
Description: partial 16S ribosomal RNA
Rfam family: Bacterial small subunit ribosomal RNA
Source: RNAcentral
CCUACGGGUGGCAGCAGUGAGGAAUAUUGGUCAAUGGACGAGAGUCUGAACCAGCCAAGUAGCGUGAAGGAUGACUGCCCUAUGGGUUGUAAACUUCUUUUAUAUGGGAUUAAAAUGUUCCACGUGUGGGAUUUUGUAUGUACCAUAUGAAUAAGGAUCGGCUAACUCCGUGCCAGCAGCCGCGGUAAUACGGGGGAUCCGAGCGUUAUCCGGAUUUAUUGGGGUUAAAGGGAGCGUAGGUGGAUUUUUAAGGCAGUUGUGAAAGUUUGAGGCUCAAACGUAAAAGUGCAGUGGAAACUGGCAGUCUUGAGUACAGUAGAGGUGGGCGGAAUUCGUGGUGUAGCGGUGAAAUGCUUAGAUAGCACGAAGAACUCCGAUUGCGAAGGCAGCGCACGGGACUGCAACUGACACUGAGGCACGAAAGUGUGGGUAUCAAACAGGAGUAGAUACCCCUGUAGUC